RNAcentral lists this ribosomal RNA (429 nucleotides) under Bacteroidota bacterium. RNAcentral's name for it is "Bacteroidetes bacterium partial 16S ribosomal RNA". It matches the Rfam family "Bacterial small subunit ribosomal RNA", at positions 355 to 776 of the family's 1533-position model. Lineage: Bacteria; Pseudomonadati; Bacteroidota. The record is from RNAcentral.
UAGGGAAUCUUCCGCAAUGGACGCAAGUCUGACGGAGCAACGCCGCGUGAGUGAAGAAGGAUUUCGGUUCGUAAAACUCUGUUGUUAGAGAAGAACAGCGCAUAGAGUAACUGUUAUGCGUGUGACGGUAUCUAACCAGAAAGCCACGGCUAACUACGUGCCAGCAGCCGCGGUAAUACGUAGGUGGCAAGCGUUGUCCGGAUUUAUUGGACGUAAAGCGAGCGCAGGCGGUCAAUUAAGUCUGAUGUGAAAGCCCCCGGCUCAACCGGGGAGGGUCAUUGGAAACUGGUUGACUUGAGUGCAGAAGAGGAGAGUGGAAUUCCAUGUGUAGCGGUGAAAUGCGUAGAUAUAUGGAGGAACACCAGUGGCGAAGGCGACUCUCUGGUCUGUAACUGACGCUGAGGUUCGAAAGCGUGGGUAGCAAACAGG